GUAAUCGCUUUGAUGGUACGUAUACUCAAACUGAAACGAUAUAGGGAAGAACAGCAUGGCUACUGCACAAGGAUGAAAAAAAAGUGUUUAGAGUUCAAGCUUCGUAAU
Small nuclear RNA from Schistocerca cancellata (South American locust), 108 nucleotides. Lineage: Eukaryota; Metazoa; Arthropoda; Insecta; Orthoptera; Acrididae. The record is from RefSeq and is a predicted model, not a curated record.